This 492-nucleotide ribosomal RNA is filed under the name uncultured bacterium. RNAcentral describes it as "partial 16S ribosomal RNA". It matches the Rfam family "Bacterial small subunit ribosomal RNA", at positions 29 to 507 of the family's 1533-position model. The record is from RNAcentral.
AGUGAACGCUGGCGGUAGGCCUAACACAUGCAAGUCGAACGGCAGCACAGUAAGAGCUUGCUCUUACGGGUGGCGAGUGGCGGACGGGUGAGGAAUACAUCGGAAUCUACUUUUUCGUGGGGGAUAACGUAGGGAAACUUACGCUAAUACCGCAUACGACCUACGGGUGAAAGCAGGGGAUUUUCGGACCUUGCGCGAUUGAAUGAGCCGAUGUCGGAUUAGCUAGUUGGCGGGGUAAAGGCCCACCAAGGCGACGAUCCGUAGCUGGUCUGAGAGGAUGAUCAGCCACACUGGAACUGAGACACGGUCCAGACUCCUACGGGAGGCAGCAGUGGGGAAUAUUGGACAAUGGGCGCAAGCCUGAUCCAGCCAUACCGCGUGGGUGAAGAAGGCCUUCGGGUUGUAAAGCCCUUCUGUUGGGAAAGAAAAGCAGCAGGUUAAUACCCCGCUGUUCUGACGGUACCCAAAGAAUAAGCACCGGCUAACUUCGUG